UAAACUUUGUAUGCCUCUGGACACCCUGAA
RNAcentral lists this non-coding RNA (30 nucleotides) under Mus musculus (house mouse). Lineage: Eukaryota; Metazoa; Chordata; Mammalia; Rodentia; Muridae. The record is from RNAcentral.